GUGGGGCUUAUUCCGAACACUGAUGCCGGAGAGCCUGGAGUUGUGAUGCCGGUGCCGGUGGUUGGUGUGCCCGUGGUUGGAGUUGUGCCCGUGGUUGGGGUGGUGGGUGUGCCGGUUGGUGUGACCGUGGUUGGGGUGGUUGGGGUGGUGGGUGUGCCGUUGGUGGGUGUACCGGUUGGUGUGCCUGCGGUUGGCGUGCCAGUUCCUGCUUGACUGAACAAAACAGAACAAAAUCAUGUCAGUAUAAUGCACUCAAAUUUUGAAGUUCAUAGGAAAAUAAAUGCAAAUAGAAUCGGUUACAAACUUUUUAUAAAAAAAUGAAACACUAUGAACACUAAACCCACGAUAAACCAAUAUAAAAACUACGGUUUACCAUCCUUUAUUGAUUUCUUAGUAUGCCUCUCGUCUUCCAAUUCUAUUCCAAUUCUAAUUAAAAGUUUGUAACCAGUUCCGUAGAUAUCCCCCGGGUUCGAAACCCCUAAAGAUUAACCAUGGUUUAAAUCAAUGAGAUGAAAUGAAGACGAAAGGGGAAACAGAACUUUUACAUACAUAUUUCUUGACAGCUCACUGUUAUGACUUGAUACAACAGAUCAAGCUAAUACAGUAUUAACUUAAGGGUGGGGAGAUGGAUCUAGUUUUCUUAAUCACUUUCCAAAUAAGCAAAUUAUGAACCCUGAUAUCCAAAAUUACUUUUGCAGCCGUUGUUGCUUAUUCAAUAAACACUUUUCAAAUCUACCAUUUAAGAGAAAAAUUAACAGAAAAAUAAAUUAUGGGGAAAAUUGCAUUCAAUAUAUUGAUAAAAUGCUCAUAAAUUUGCAAAGAUAUGAGAAAUAAAACUCAGCCACCUACCUGGAACUUGCAGGAUAAACACAAGUCGAACUUGCGGCUGGAAAAUCACCAAAAAAAUUAAAAUCAGUGAUUUUUUUAGUAUAAAUAAAUAAAUAUGAAAAAUAAUUGGUAAGAAAUAAGAUUUAGAAUGAAGGAACUUACUACUGGGAGCAGUUUGACUCUGAGUAGCAGCACCUGCAAAAUCACAGCUCUGCGCAGUUUGACCCUUCCUCUGGAAAUAACUGUUGACAGCAUAGCUGCAGUGAUCUUUGACGGUGUUGGGCUGGUAACAGACACCGUUUUGGAGGAUUGGACUGCAGUCAGCUCCAGCUCCGCAGGCAUAGUCCAGUGCCUUCUGAAGUGUUGGA
Molecule: long non-coding RNA, 1196 nt
Filed under: Malus domestica (apple)
Lineage: Eukaryota; Viridiplantae; Streptophyta; Magnoliopsida; Rosales; Rosaceae
Description: long non-coding RNA (MDOM_LNC011818)
Source: RNAcentral